This is a small nuclear RNA of Gracilinanus agilis (Agile Gracile Mouse Opossum), 107 nucleotides long. NCBI's taxonomy places the organism in Eukaryota, Metazoa, Chordata, Mammalia, Didelphimorphia, Didelphidae. The record is from RefSeq and is a predicted model, not a curated record.
GUGCUUGCUUUGGCAAUAUAUAUACUAAAACUAGAAUGAAACAAAGAAGAUUAAAAUGGCUUCUACACAAAGUUGACAUCCAAAUUUGUGAAGCAUUCCAUAUUUUU